Molecule: unclassified non-coding RNA, 488 nt
Filed under: Hevea brasiliensis (rubber tree)
Lineage: Eukaryota; Viridiplantae; Streptophyta; Magnoliopsida; Malpighiales; Euphorbiaceae
Source: RNAcentral
UAUGGAAAUGAUAACUUCCCUAUUAACUAUGCUUUCUUUGAUGGAGCAUCACAACCCAUUGUAGACAAAGGUACUGGGAUUCAGUAUACCAAUGUUUUUGAUGCCAACUUCGACACCCUGGUCUCAGCCCUCAAAGCAGUAGGAUUUGGAGAGAUGACCAUUAUAGUUGGGGAGGUGGGUUGGCCUACUGAUGGGGACAAGAGUGCCACUAUAGCUUAUGCUUACAGAUUUUAUAAUGGGCUGUUACCGCGACUCGCUAGCAAUAGAGGCACCCCACUCCGGCCUGAAUUCAUAGAAGUCUACUUGUUUGGUCUUCUUGACGAGGAUGCAAAGAGCAUAGCUCCUGGAAACUUUGAACGCCAUUGGGGAAUCUUUCAGUAUGAUGGCCAACCUAAAUUUGGAUUAGAUUUUACUGGUCAGGGUCAAAACAAGUUGCCUGUGGGUGCGCAGAAUGUGCAGUAUCAACCAUCAAAAUGGUGUAUGUUUAA